AGGGCGCAUGGCGGAUGCCUUGGCUCUCGGAGGCGAUGAAGGACGUGAUAAGCUGCGAUAAGCUUUGGGGAGGUGCAAAUGACCUUUGAUCCAGAGAUUUCCGAAUGGGACAACCCAAUAUCUUGAAGAGGUAUUAUCCAACGUUGUUGGAGGCUAACGCAGGGAACUGAAACAUCUUAGUACCUGCAGGAAAAGAAAAUAAACAAUGAUUCCCCCAGUAGUGGCGAGCGAACGGGGAACAGCCCAAACCAUCCAUGUUACGGCAUGGGUGGGGUUGUAGGACUACGCCGUUGCAUGAAGACAUCAGAGAAGAACUUUCUGGAAAGAAAGACCAUAGAGCAUGACAGUUGCGUAUUCGAAUGUUGUCGAAGCAUAGUAGUAUCCUGAGUAGCGCGGAGCACGAGGAAUUCUGCGUGAAUCAGCCGGGACCAUCCGGUAAGGCUAAAUACUCCCGAGAGACCGAUAGUGAACCAGUACUGUGAAGGAAAGGUGAAAAGCACUUCGAACAGAAGAGUGAAAUAGUUCCUGAAACCAUGCGCCUACAAGCGGUCGGAGCUCUUACGAGUGACGGCGUGCCUUUUGCAUAAUGAACCUACGAGUUACUUUUUCCGGCAAGGUUAAGGGUCUUGAGACCUGCAGCCGAAGCGAAAGCGAGUCUUAACAGGGCGUUCAGUCGGAAGGAGUAGACGCGAAACCAAGUGAUCUACCCUUGGGCAGGUUGAAGGAUGGGUAACACCAUCUGGAGGACCGAACCAAUAAGCGUUGAAAAGCUUCUGGAUGACCUGAGGGUGGGGGUGAAAGGCUAAUCAAACUUGGAGAUAGCUCGUACUCCCCGAAAUGCAUUUAGGUGCAGCCUUGCGGGUUACUGAUGUGAGGUAGAGCGACUGAUAAGAUGCGAGGGCUUCACCGCCUAUCAAGUCUUGACAAACUCCGAAUGCGUGUCAGUUCUAUGUCAGGAGUGAGGGCAUGGGUGCUAAGGUCCAUGUCCUAAAGGAGAACAAUCCGGACCAACAGCUAAGGUCCCGAAAUGAAUACUAAGUUGAACUAACGAAGUCAGAUUGCUAAGACAGCUAGGAUGUUGGCUUGGAAGCAGCCAUUCAUUUAAAGAGUGCGUAACAGCUCACUAGUCGAGUGGUCCCGCAUGGAUAAUAAUCGGGCAUAAGCCCGGUGCCGAAGACGUGGAACCGCCCUUAUGGGGCGUGUUGGUAGGGGAGCAUUCCGGAGGCCGCUGAAGGCGGGGCGCGAGCCGUGCUGGAGGUACCGGAAAAGCAAAUGUAGGUAUAAGUAACGACAAGCAGGGCGAGAAACCCUGCCGCCGCAAGACCAAGGGUUCCUGAUCAACGCUAAUCGGAUCAGGGUAAGUCGGGACCUAAGGGGCAGCCGUAAGGCGGACCCGAUGGACAAACAGUCAAGAUUCUGUUACCUCGUACAUGAGUGAAGCAGCGACGGAGCAGUGACACGCCCGCGCACUGACGGAAUAGUGCGUUAAACCGCGUAGGUAAAGGGAAGGCAGGCAAAUCCACCUUUCCUGCUGAAACGGGACAGUACCGAGCGCCCCCGGGCAAUCGGAUAGCGGCGGUAAUCAGACUUCCAAGAAAACCUGCUAAACAAAUCAUGUGCGGGCCCGUACCGCAAACCGACACAGGUGGUCGGGUAGAACAUACCAAGGCGCUCGAGAGAUUCACGGUUAAGGAACUAGGCAAAUUGACCCCGUAACUUCGGGAAAAGGGGUCCCGUCUCCAGGGACGGGCGCAGAGAAUAGGUCCAGGCAACUGUUUAACAAAAACACAGGGCUGUGCGAAGUUUAAAGAUGAAGAAUACAGCCUGACACCUGCCCGGUGCCGGAAGGUUAAGAGGAGACGUCAUCGCAAGAGAAGCGUUGAAUUGAAGCCCCGGUAAACGGCGGCCGUAACUAUAACGGUCCUAAGGUAGCGAAAUUCCUUGUCGGGUAAGUUCCGACCUGCACGAAUGGUGUAAUGAUCUGGACGCUGUCUCAACCGUGAGCUCAGUGAAAUUGUAGUAUCGGUGAAGAUGCCGAUUACCCGCGAUGGGACGAAAAGACCCCGUGAACCUUUACUAUAGCUUAACAUUGAAUUUGGGUAAUUGAUGUGUAGGAUAGGCCGGAGGCUUCGAAGCAGGUACGCCAGUAUUUGUGGAGCCGCUGUUGAAAUACGGCCCUUUGAUUAUUUGAGUUCUAACCCGUUGAUGCGGGGACACUGUUUGGUGGGUAGUUUGACUGGGGUGGUCGCCUCCAAAAGUGUAACGGAGGCUUCUAAAGGUGCCCUCACGACGAUUGGUAACCGUCGGCAGAGUGUAAUGGCAUAAGGGCGCUUGACUGGGAGACUAACAAGUCGAUCAGGUAGGAAACUAGAGCAUAGUGAUCCGGUGUUUCCGUAUGGAAGGGACAUCGCUCAAAGGAUAAAAGGUACUCCGGGGAUAACAGGCUGAUCCCUCCCAAGAGCUCAUAUCGACGGAGUGGUUUGGCACCUCGAUGUCGGCUCGUCACAUCCUGGGGCUGGAGAAGGUCCCAA
RNAcentral lists this ribosomal RNA (2531 nucleotides) under human gut metagenome. Its description in RNAcentral is "bacterial LSU rRNA". It matches the Rfam family "Bacterial large subunit ribosomal RNA", at positions 14 to 2568 of the family's 2925-position model. The record is from RNAcentral.